GUGGUUGUGCGCGUGAGGCUCGCUCGGUCCGUGCCCAUGGCUGUGGUGCGCGCCCCCACGUCGUCCGCAUCAGGUGCUAGCAGGGACGGAGCAGGUCGGCGCUGCUGUCUUGGAUAACCUGACCCCAUUCCAGUAGAGGUGACACCAUAGCACUCUUUGUGGAGCUUCGUCCCUGGCUGUUAAUUGGAACCACCCAAUGGAUCACAAGCUUUUCUCUUGUAUAAUCAGGCGAAUAAUGCAGAUCAACAUCACAGAAUGUAUCAUGGCAUGGAUUUCUCAUUGGAGCUGUCAUCUUGAACCAUAAUUUGCGGUAGAUGUGGUGGCAGUAAUGAAUUACUCAAAUAUUGUAUCUAUCCCAAACCAAUUUGUCAAACAGGGGUUUACCGUAAACUCUUGCUGGCUGGAUAAUAUUGAUAACCGCGGAUGAAUGAUAUUACACAAAGUAAUGAUGAUGAAAGGGAGCGCAUCCAGUUUUGCUGAAGAUCGCCUCCACGCGGCUAACAUUGAACUUACCAUGUUGGAUUAAGCAAUGCUGCCACUCUUGUGUAGAUGCCCGAACAUGUAAAUUAUGUCUAAAUCCAUUAGUAGUAUAUCAAAACUCCAAGAUCCCCAUGGCCUGCAAUCUUUAUGUUCACUGCUGGACAAUCUCAUCUAAAUCAAAGACAUCCCUGUUCAACUGUUUUACAUUUUAUUCUGCUAACACCAGUAAGAAGACUUACAUGGAUCUGAACAAAACUAGACAGAUGGAUAACCAUUCGCAACAUCAUAGCUUUUCUGGUGCUCACACUGGAAAUUUAUUAAGAAUUUUCGGUACGAAAUAUCUUGUAUUAUGUCCUUGAUUCGAUAAAAAUAAUUAGACAUGCCUUAACUUUGUCUAAAUUUGGUGUCUUAACUGUCUCAAAAUUUAGACAAAAUUAAGACAUAUUUCAUGCGACA
Long non-coding RNA from Lolium rigidum, 936 nucleotides. RefSeq lists it as uncharacterized. The transcript is spliced from 3 exons. NCBI's taxonomy places the organism in Eukaryota, Viridiplantae, Streptophyta, Magnoliopsida, Poales, Poaceae. The record is from RefSeq and is a predicted model, not a curated record.